GACGAACGCUGGCGGCGUGCUUAACACAUGCAAGUCGAACGGAAAGGCCCUGCUUUUGUGGGGUGCUCGAGUGGCGAACGGGUGAGUAACACGUGAGUAACCUGCCCUUGACUUUGGGAUAACUUCAGGAAACUGGGGCUAAUACCGGAUAGGAGCUCCUGCUGCAUGGUGGGGGUUGGAAAGUUUCGGCGGUUGGGGAUGGACUCGCGGCUUAUCAGCUUGUUGGUGGGGUAGUGGCUUACCAAGGCUUUGACGGGUAGCCGGCCUGAGAGGGUGACCGGCCACAUUGGGACUGAGAUACGGCCCAGACUCCUACGGGAGGCAGCAGUGGGGAAUAUUGCACAAUGGGCGGAAGCCUGAUGCAGCAACGCCGCGUGCGGGAUGACGGCCUUCGGGUUGUAAACCGCUUUCGCCUGUGACGAAGCGUGAGUGACGGUAAUGGGUAAAGAAGCACCGGCUAACUACGUGCCAGCAGCCGCGGUGAUACGUAGGGUGCGAGCGUUGUCCGGAUUUAUUGGGCGUAAAGGGCUCGUAGGUGGUUGAUCGCGUCGGAAGUGUAAUCUUGGGGCUUAACCCUGAGCGUGCUUUCGAUACGGGUUGACUUGAGGAAGGUAGGGGAGAAUGGAAUUCCUGGUGGAGCGGUGGAAUGCGCAGAUAUCAGGAGGAACACCAGUGGCGAAGGCGGUUCUCUGGGCCUUUCCUGACGCUGAGGAGCGAAAGCGUGGGGAGCGAACAGGCUUAGAUACCCUGGUAGUCCACGCUGUAAACGGUGGGUACUAGGUGUGGGGUCCAUUCCACGGGUUCCGUGCCGUAGCUAACGCUUUAAGUACCCCGCCUGGGGAGUACGGCCGCAAGGCUAAAACUCAAAGGAAUUGACGGGGCCCCGCACAAGCGGCGGAGCAUGCGGAUUAAUUCGAUGCAACGCGUAGAACCUUACCUGGGUUUGACAUGGAUCGGGAGUGCUCAGAGAUGGGUGUGCCUCUUUUGGGGUCGGUUCACAGGUGGUGCAUGGCUGUCGUCAGCUCGUGUCGUGAGAUGUUGGGUUAAGUCCCGCAACGAGCGCAACCCUUGUUCACUGUUGCCAGCACGUUAUGGUGGGGACUCAGUGGAGACCGCCGGGGUCAACUCGGAGGAAGGUGGGGAUGACGUCAAGUCAUCAUGCCCCUUAUGUCCAGGGCUUCACGCAUGCUACAAUGGCUGGUACAGAGAGUGGCGAGCCUGUGAGGGUGAGCGAAUCUCGGAAAGCCGGUCUCAGUUCGGAUUGGAGUCUGCAACUCGACCUCAUGAAGUCGGAGUCGCUAGUAAUCGCAGAUCAGCAACGCUGCGGUGAAUAAGUUCCCGGG
Molecule: ribosomal RNA, 1343 nt
Filed under: uncultured bacterium
Lineage: Bacteria
Description: 16S ribosomal RNA
Rfam family: Bacterial small subunit ribosomal RNA
Source: RNAcentral